UGGCGGAUUGCUUUAGGGAUUUAUUGUGCAUGAAUUCUUUUUUAUUCAAUCACAUUGACAAUUUUUAAUUAUUUUUUAUAAUUUUGUUAAAUUAUAAUUUUGGGUUAUUUGCGUCCACAUUUUAAUUUUUUUUUUUGUUCGUGCGAGGACUUAUUCGUAAUUUUAAUAUCGUUUGAAACGAUUUCCGCGUUUAAAUGUGUUCCUGUCGCCUACCCCCCACGGCAGGUUCUAGUAAUUCGCGUUUCGUUAAUAAUUAUUUUUUUCAUUUGGUGUGUGGAUCCUUGCGAUGUUUUUCCCAGAAGCAACGCAACCCCAUACACUUUAAUUUAUAAUUAGUAUUAUUUGUACAAUAUUUAAUUUUUUUGAAUUAUUUUAUUAGUAGCAUGGAUGUAAAUAACUCGUUUAAAAAUCUAAAAACUUUGUUAAAUAAAUUAUUUGUUUUUAUUUUGACUGAUUUUUCUGCUGCAAUGCAAUGAAUAUGUUUUAAUAAAAUAAUUUUAAUUUUUUGUGCUUGCACAAUAAGUCUCCUAAACGGAGAAAUGCUGAAGACGUACUGUUUGAAGUUAAAAAAAAAAAGUGUAAAUGGGCCUCGACUAAAGAUACCAGGGGGUUGAGUACUACAACGAACAGGAGAACAUGUGUACCGAUAUGAUGUACCAGAGCACUGGCAGCGGAUAAAUACGAGCAGGCUACCACAUAGGUUGCAGAAUUAAUUUCUCACCACGACGACAAGCACCAGGACUGCUUGCUAGGAGAUUGUGGUGGAUUAAAAAGGUUGAAGGUACCCUUUUUGGGGCGCAAUGACUGCUACUUGGUACAUCUUGGCAUUGCGUUUACCAAUAUACAGGGUUUACCUUGGCGCCCCAAUCUGACUUAAUAAAACCCGGUAAUUAUCUGUAGAGUGCGUAACUAACUACACGAAUGAAACAGAAUCUAUACUUAUUAACUUAUUCAAUGUUACCUAGUUGUGUUCGUCGUAGGUGCGAAGAUAUGACUGUAUUUUUGUAGUCAUGUCUUAAGUCUAAAUUCUGAUAUACUAUUGUUUUGGUUGGUGAAAAAGCUUGAAAUUAUAGAUGUGUAUGAUACGGCGUGAUGAUAAUGGGGAUCGCAUACAAUCGGAGAGCUCUCACUUUUUCUGGAUUGUGUGUUCUUUGCCCAUGGAACAACACACGCACCACUAUACACUAACUGCCUCAAGGGCUUGUGUACUUCCGACUCUAUUGACUACCUCAGAAGACUGAUACUUAAAAAGUGAUUGCGUCUUUGUAACGACAGCAUGCAAUGUUUCCAAAGGGUUGCACAACCUUUAGUGCAAACUACAUCCGCCGCCCGCCUAUAUGGUUCCUGUCGUAUGUGGUCCAGAUUCGCGAUAAAGACUACAUACAUCAUUUCCAAGGAGUUUCUAAACUCCUAAACUAAAUCCUCACCUGCCUAUAAGGCUCCUAUCGUAUGAGGUCCGAAGUCGCGAUCGUUUUUUAGUAUCAGUCCUCUCAGGUGGUCAAUCCAAUACGGAGGACACAAGUUAGUGCAUUAGUGAUGGUUGUGAUGUUGUGCCAGGGAAAAAAAACACGAUCUAGAAAAAUCCGAUCGAGUUUUCCGAUUUUAAGCUUUCCCCUGCGUAAUUACGCCGUUCUAUACAUUUUUAAUCAUUUCUAGCUUUAUCAUUACCCAUCGUUAGUACAUUCGAAUUUAGGCUUAAUGCAUCACUAUACAUAAGUGCGGUCAAGCUCUCGGAUCUGUAAACAUAACUCGGUAACAAUCAAUAAGUUGGUAAGUAGAUUCUGUUUUAAUUGUGUAGUUAGUUAAAAUCUCCACUGGUAACUGCAAGUUUUGUUGAGUCGAAUUA
Molecule: long non-coding RNA, 1846 nt
Organism: Ctenocephalides felis (cat flea)
Lineage: Eukaryota; Metazoa; Arthropoda; Insecta; Siphonaptera; Pulicidae
Exons: 3
Source: RefSeq, a predicted model, not a curated record